AGGCGUUACGUGCUGCUUCUCCUAUCCGACCGAGAUGGCCUGUCCCCGGGUGGCGUCGGAUUGAGCCCCCGUCUGGAACUCGAGUCUAGCGCAGAAGCGUCGAAACGAGGCCAUCGCGGUACUGGGGAGAACGAGCUCUCUCGGACUUUGUCAAAAAAACGAGAAUCUGGUCGAAAAUUGCACUAAGUCUUUUGAUGUGAGAGACGGGUGAGAAGGCACACCCGCCCGGAGGCAGGCAGGCAGGACGAGCUCCCUCCCCGACCAGAGGCGAUGCGCCGUCCUGGGCAUCGUGGAAGGAGUCGGAGGGCAUAUACCAAACUGUAUGGUUCUGGGAGCUUGGGUAACUCCCAGAAGCGAGGCCGAAGACGAUGCGCCGUCCUGGGCAUCGUGGAAGGAGUCGGAGGGCAUAUACCAAACUGUAUGGUUCUGGGAGCUUGGGUAACUCCCAGAAGCGAGGCCGAAGACGAUGCGCCGUCCUGGGCAUCGUGGAAGGAGUCGGAGGGCAUAUACCAAACUGUAUGGUUCUGGGAGCUUGGGGAACUCCCAGAAGCGAGGCCGAAGACGAUGCGCCGUCCUGGGCAUCGUGGAAGGAACGGAGGGCAUAUACCAAACUGUGUGGUGGUGGUGUGCGAAACUAGAAACGGGUGAGGUGGCACCCGCCCGGAGGUGCGCAAAAAGUCGUUCCUCGAAAAAUUUUCUAAGUCCCAAAACGGAGUUGCAGGUGUAAAGAUCCAGGCGUUACGUGCUGCUUCUCCUAUCCGACCGAGAUGGCCUGUCCCCGGGUGGCGUCGGAUUGAGCCGCCGUCUGGAACUCGAGUCUAGCGCAGAAGCGUCGAAACGAGGCCAUCGCGGUACUGGGGAGAACGAGCUCUCUCGGACUUUGUCAAAAAAACGAGAAUCUGGUCGAAAAUUGCACUAAGUCUUUUGGUGUGAGAGACGGGUGAGAAGGCACACCCGCCCGGAGGCAGGCAGGCAGGACGAGCUCCCUCCCCGACCAGAGGCGAUGCGCCGUCCUGGGCAUCGUGGAAGGAGCCGUAGGGCAUAUACCAAACUGUAUGGUUCUGGGAGCUUGGGGAACUCCCAGAAGCGAGGCCGAAGACGAUGCGCCGUCCUGGGCAUCGUGGAAGGAGUCGGAGGGCAUAUACCAAACUGUAUGGUUCUGGGAGCUUGGGUAACUCCCAGAAGCGAGGCCGAAGACGAUGCGCCGUCCUGGGCAUCGUGGAAGGAGC
Ctenopharyngodon idella (grass carp) is the source of this 1229-nucleotide long non-coding RNA. RefSeq lists it as uncharacterized. Lineage: Eukaryota; Metazoa; Chordata; Actinopteri; Cypriniformes; Xenocyprididae. The transcript has 3 exons. The record is from RefSeq and is a predicted model, not a curated record.